This is a long non-coding RNA of Anneissia japonica, 300 nucleotides long. RefSeq lists it as uncharacterized. NCBI's taxonomy places the organism in Eukaryota, Metazoa, Echinodermata, Crinoidea, Comatulida, Comatulidae. The transcript is spliced from 3 exons. The record is from RefSeq and is a predicted model, not a curated record.
UUCUGAUUGGAUUUGCUUGGUCGGUCUCAUCAAAACCAGUAGACUCGUGCCUCUUUACAGAAUCUGAGCAUUGGUUAAUCACAUUGGACAGGCUACACCAAUCGUUAUCCAAUGUUGACCAGAGCAAUUGUGAUUCGCUCCAAUGUAGUUUUCCCUUCCAAUCGUUUCUUCAGCCUACUCAGGGGUCGACGUACAGACAAACUCUCAACUUCGUCACUAAUACAACUGAAGUCUUCAGUCCCUGGUUCGACCAAACUAGUACCAUUUCAGACCAAAUAGAAAGCGCCCUCGAAUCACUGA